Non-coding RNA from Phlyctochytrium arcticum, 71 nucleotides. The record is from the annotation of a GenBank genome assembly. Lineage: Eukaryota; Fungi; Chytridiomycota; Chytridiomycetes; Chytridiales; Chytridiaceae.
GCGCUGGUGGUGAAAUGGUAUCAUGCUUGCCUUCCAAGCAAGCGGCCUGGGUUCGAUUCCCAGCUAGCGCA